UACGAAGGGGGCUAGCGUUGCUCGGAAUCACUGGGCGUAAAGCGCACGUAGGCGGAUUGUUAAGUCAGGGGUGAAAGCCCGGGGCUCAACUCCGGAAUUGCCUUUGAAACGGGAUCGCUAGAGUCCGAGAGAGGAUGGCGGAAUUCCUAGUGUAGAGGUGAAAUUCGUAGAUAUUAGGAAGAACACCGGUGGCGAAGGCGGCCAUCUGGCUCGGUAUUGACGCUCAGGCGCGAAAGCGUGGGGAGCAAACAGG
This 253-nucleotide ribosomal RNA is filed under the name uncultured bacterium. Its description in RNAcentral is "partial 16S ribosomal RNA". It matches the Rfam family "Bacterial small subunit ribosomal RNA", at positions 524 to 776 of the family's 1533-position model. The record is from RNAcentral.